This 253-nucleotide ribosomal RNA is filed under the name uncultured bacterium. Its description in RNAcentral is "partial 16S ribosomal RNA". It matches the Rfam family "Bacterial small subunit ribosomal RNA", at positions 524 to 776 of the family's 1533-position model. The record is from RNAcentral.
UACGUAGGGUGCAAGCGUUAAUCGGAAUUACUGGGCGUAAAGCGUGCGCAGGCGGUUGGGCAAGUCAGAUGUGAAAUCCCCGGGCUUAACCUGGGAAUGGCAUUUGUGACUGCCCGGCUAGAGUGUGUCAGAGGGGGGUAGAAUUCCACGUGUAGCAGUGAAAUGCGUAGAGAUGUGGAGGAAUACCGAUGGCGAAGGCAGCCCCCUGGGAUAACACUGACGCUCAUGCACGAAAGCGUGGGGAGCAAAAGGG